RNAcentral lists this ribosomal RNA (672 nucleotides) under Cyphellostereum imperfectum. RNAcentral describes it as "eukaryotic LSU rRNA". The stretch from base 253 to 406 matches the Rfam family "5.8S ribosomal RNA". Lineage: Eukaryota; Fungi; Basidiomycota; Agaricomycetes; Agaricales; Hygrophoraceae. The record is from RNAcentral.
GGAAGUAAAAGUCGUAACAAGGUUUCCGUAGGUGAACCUGCGGAAGGAUCAUUAAUGAACGCGCGGGAAGGACGCGGCUGCUGCUGGGCUCUACGGGCCAUCGUGCACGUCGCCCCUCUCCCCAUUCAUUCAUCUGCCCCUAUCUGUGCACCUCCCAGUAGGCUUGGGAUCUCCCAGCCUACGUCCUCACAUAAUACCCCUGUAGUCAAUCAGUGAAUGCAUUCCCGUCUGAGGACGGCUUAAAAUUUGUACAACUUUCAACAACGGAUCUCUUGGCUCUCGCAUCGAUGAAGAACGCAGCGAAAUGCGAUAAGUAAUGUGAAUUGCAGAAUUCAGUGAAUCAUCGAAUCUUUGAACGCACCUUGCACCCCUUGGUAUUCCGAGGGGUAUGUCUGUUUGAGUGUCAUUGAUCUAUCAAGGCCGAACACGUUUCGGGCUCUCCUUGGAUGUUGGAGCGUGCGGGGGUGGACAGGUCUCUCUGGCUCCCCCCGCUCCUCUCGAAACGCAUCAGCGGUCGUCCUUCCGUGCAACCCCGCUUUGCGGCGCGAUAAACCGUCGGCGUCGUGGGGGGAUGCGUUGGACUUUUGCUUCUAGUCGCGCUAAGCUUUCUUUGACAGUCUGACCUCAAAUCAGGCAGGAUUACCCGCCGAACUUAAGCAUAUCAAUAAGCGG